Molecule: ribosomal RNA, 253 nt
Filed under: uncultured bacterium
Lineage: Bacteria
Description: partial 16S ribosomal RNA
Rfam family: Bacterial small subunit ribosomal RNA
Source: RNAcentral
GACAGAGGAUGCAAACGUUGCUCGGAAUUACUGGGCGUAAAGCGCGCGCAGGUGGUCUCGUAAGUCGGGUGUGAAAUCCCGGGGCUCAACCUCGGAAGUGCACUCGAUACUGCAAGACUUGAGUACUGGAGAGGAGAGCGGAAUUCCCGGUGUAGAGGUGAAAUUCGUAGAUAUCGGGAGGAACACCAGUGGCGAAGGCGGCUCUCUGGACAGAUACUGACACUGAGGCGCGAAAGCGUGGGAAGCAAACAGG